UCCAGCUUAUCGCUGGCGGUCUCCUGCGAGUGCCCAACUAAAUGAUGGCAACACAGGACAAGGGUUGCGCUCGUUGCGGGACUUAACCCAACAUCUCACGACACGAGCUGACGACAGCCAUGCAGCACCUCGACUCAAGUCUCUUGCGAGAAGUCCCUGUUUCCAAGGAAUGUCUUAAGCCGUUCGAGCCCAGGUAAGGUUCUUCGCGUUGCGUCGAAUUGAACCACAUGCUCCACCGCUUGUGCGGGCCCCCGUCAAUUCCUUUGAGUUUCAGCCUUGCGACUGUACUCCCCAGGCGGCAUAUUUAACGCGUUAGCUCCGGCACGGACAGAAUGAACUGCCCACACCAAAUAUGCAUCGUUUAGGGCGUGGACUAC
Molecule: unclassified non-coding RNA, 377 nt
Filed under: uncultured Bryobacterales bacterium
Lineage: Bacteria; Pseudomonadati; Acidobacteriota; Terriglobia; Bryobacterales
Description: contains 16S-23S intergenic spacer region
Source: RNAcentral